AGUCCUGUGGUGAAAUUCAUAAUGAGUUGCAAACUCAUAGAUGUACAUUGAAUGUGUACCGGGACUU
Molecule: transfer RNA, 67 nt
Filed under: Neodrepanis coruscans (wattled asity)
Lineage: Eukaryota; Metazoa; Chordata; Aves; Passeriformes; Philepittidae
Description: tRNA-Cys
Source: RNAcentral